This 1667-nucleotide ribosomal RNA is filed under the name Salmonella enterica. RNAcentral describes it as "partial 23S ribosomal RNA". It matches the Rfam family "Bacterial large subunit ribosomal RNA", at positions 1292 to 2925 of the family's 2925-position model. Lineage: Bacteria; Pseudomonadati; Pseudomonadota; Gammaproteobacteria; Enterobacterales; Enterobacteriaceae. The record is from RNAcentral. RNAcentral also lists the same sequence under 1 other name.
GAAUGCUGACAUAAGUAACGAUAAAGCGGGUGAAAAGCCCGCUCGCCGGAAGACCAAGGGUUCCUGUCCAACGUUAAUCGGGGCAGGGUGAGUCGACCCCUAAGGCGAGGCCGAAAGGCGUAGUCGAUGGGAAACGGGUUAAUAUUCCCGUACUUGGUGUUACUGCGAAGGGGGGACGGAGAAGGCUAUGUUGGCCGGGCGACGGUUGUCCCGGUUUAAGCGUGUAGGUGUGUGUUCCAGGUAAAUCCGGUUCACUUUAACACUGAGGCGUGACGACGAGGCACUACGGUGCUGAAGCAACAAAUGCCCUGCUUCCAGGAAAAGCCUCUAAGCAUCAGGUAACAUCAAAUCGUACCCCAAACCGACACAGGUGGUCAGGUAGAGAAUACCAAGGCGCUUGAGAGAACUCGGGUGAAGGAACUAGGCAAAAUGGUGCCGUAACUUCGGGAGAAGGCACGCUGACACGUAGGUGAAGUGAUUUACUCAUGGAGCUGAAGUCAGUCGAAGAUACCAGCUGGCUGCAACUGUUUAUUAAAAACACAGCACUGUGCAAACACGAAAGUGGACGUAUACGGUGUGACGCCUGCCCGGUGCCGGAAGGUUAAUUGAUGGGGUCAGCGCAAGCGAAGCUCCUGAUCGAAGCCCCGGUAAACGGCGGCCGUAACUAUAACGGUCCUAAGGUAGCGAAAUUCCUUGUCGGGUAAGUUCCGACCUGCACGAAUGGCGUAAUGAUGGCCAGGCUGUCUCCACCCGAGACUCAGUGAAAUUGAACUCGCUGUGAAGAUGCAGUGUACCCGCGGCAAGACGGAAAGACCCCGUGAACCUUUACUAUAGCUUGACACUGAACAUUGAGCCUUGAUGUGUAGGAUAGGUGGGAGGCUUUGAAGUGUGGACGCCAGUCUGCAUGGAGCCGACCUUGAAAUACCACCCUUUAAUGUUUGAUGUUCUAACGUGGACCCGUUACCCGGGUUGCGGACAGUGUCUGGUGGGUAGUUUGACUGGGGCGGUCUCCUCCUAAAGAGUAACGGAGGAGCACGAAGGUUGGCUAAUCCUGGUCGGACAUCAGGAGGUUAGUGCAAUGGCAUAAGCCAGCUUGACUGCGAGCGUGACGGCGCGAGCAGGUGCGAAAGCAGGUCAUAGUGAUCCGGUGGUUCUGAAUGGAAGGGCCAUCGCUCAACGGAUAAAAGGUACUCCGGGGAUAACAGGCUGAUACCGCCCAAGAGUUCAUAUCGACGGCGGUGUUUGGCACCUCGAUGUCGGCUCAUCACAUCCUGGGGCUGAAGUAGGUCCCAAGGGUAUGGCUGUUCGCCAUUUAAAGUGGUACGCGAGCUGGGUUUAGAACGUCGUGAGACAGUUCGGUCCCUAUCUGCCGUGGGCGCUGGAGAACUGAGGGGGGCUGCUCCUAGUACGAGAGGACCGGAGUGGACGCAUCACUGGUGUUCGGGUUGUCAUGCCAAUGGCACUGCCCGGUAGCUAAAUGCGGAAGAGAUAAGUGCUGAAAGCAUCUAAGCACGAAACUUGCCCCGAGAUGAGUUCUCCCUGAGACUUUAGGUCUCCUGAAGGAACGUUGAAGACGACGACGUUGAUAGGCCGGGUGUGUAAGCGCAGCGAUGCGUUGAGCUAACCGGUACUAAUGAACCGUGAGGCUUAACCUUACAACGCCGAAG